RNAcentral lists this small nucleolar RNA (107 nucleotides) under Dichanthelium oligosanthes. RNAcentral describes it as "Plant small nucleolar RNA R71". It matches the Rfam family "Plant small nucleolar RNA R71". Rfam says of the family: R71 is a member of the C/D box family of snoRNAs containing the C (UGAUGA) and D (CUGA) box motifs. Multiple nearly identical copies of this snoRNA have been identified in Arabidopsis, and it is thought to function as a 2'-O-ribose methylation guide for 18S ribosomal RNA. The record is from Rfam by way of RNAcentral. Lineage: Eukaryota; Viridiplantae; Streptophyta; Magnoliopsida; Poales; Poaceae.
AUGCCAUGAUGGGGGCACACAAUGAUGUACUCUUGGAGGCAUUCCUAUGCCUCCAAGAUGGACUCGUCAUUGUGCUGCUGGAAACUUGAUAUCCUGUUUCGGAGGAC